AGAGUUUGAUCCUGGCUCAGAUUGAACGCUGGCGGCAGGCCUAACACAUGCAAGUCGAGCGGCAGCGGGAAAGUAGCUUGCUACUUUUGCCGGCGAGCGGCGGACGGGUGAGUAAUGCCUGGGAAAUUGCCCAGUCGAGGGGGAUAACAGUUGGAAACGACUGCUAAUACCGCAUACGCCCUACGGGGGAAAGCAGGGGAUCUUCGGGCCUUGCGCGAUUGGAUAUGCCCAGGUGGGAUUAGCUUGUUGGUGAGGUAAUGGCUCACCAAGGCGACGAUCCCUAGCUGGUCUGAGAGGAUGAUCAGCCACACUGGAACCGAGACACGGUCCAGACUCCUACGGGAGGCAGCAGUGGGGAAUAUUGCACAAUGGGGGAAACCCUGAUGCAGCCAUGCCGCGUGUGUGAAGAAGGCCUUCGGGUUGUAAAGCACUUUCAGCGAGGAGGAAAGGUUGAUACCUAAUACGUAUCAGCUGUGACGUUACUCGCAGAAGAAGCACCGGCUAACUCCGUGCCAGCAGCCGCGGUAAUACGGAGGGUGCAAGCGUUAAUCGGAAUUACUGGGCGUAAAGCGCACGCAGGCGGUUGGAUAAGUUAGAUGUGAAAGCCCCGGGNCUCACCUGGGAAUUGCAUUUAAAACUGUCCAGCUAGAG
This 651-nucleotide ribosomal RNA is filed under the name uncultured bacterium. RNAcentral describes it as "bacterial SSU rRNA". It matches the Rfam family "Bacterial small subunit ribosomal RNA", at positions 8 to 646 of the family's 1533-position model. The record is from RNAcentral.